AGUCGAGCGGCAGCACGGGUACUUGUACCUGGUGGCGAGCGGCGGACGGGUGAGUAAUGCCUAGGAAUCUGCCUGGUAGUGGGGGAUAACGCUCGGAAACGGACGCUAAUACCGCAUACGUCCUACGGGAGAAAGCAGGGGACCUUCGGGCCUUGCGCUAUCAGAUGAGCCUAGGUCGGAUUAGCUAGUUGGUGAGGUAAUGGCUCACCAAGGCGACGAUCCGUAACUGGUCUG
RNAcentral lists this ribosomal RNA (234 nucleotides) under Pseudomonas sp. LS40. Its description in RNAcentral is "partial 16S ribosomal RNA". It matches the Rfam family "Bacterial small subunit ribosomal RNA", at positions 60 to 294 of the family's 1533-position model. The record is from RNAcentral. Lineage: Bacteria; Pseudomonadati; Pseudomonadota; Gammaproteobacteria; Pseudomonadales; Pseudomonadaceae.